GGCUUGGUGGUGUAGUUGGAAACACAUCCUUUUCAUGUUGUUGGACCGACUCUGUGUAUGAGGAAGUCCCCUGUUCAAAUUAAGGUCGGGCUG
This is a non-coding RNA of Mycena rebaudengoi, 93 nucleotides long. The record is from the annotation of a GenBank genome assembly. Lineage: Eukaryota; Fungi; Basidiomycota; Agaricomycetes; Agaricales; Mycenaceae.